RNAcentral lists this long non-coding RNA (1534 nucleotides) under Lathyrus oleraceus (garden pea). Its description in RNAcentral is "Pisum sativum (pea) long non-coding RNA (PSAT_LNC001899)". The record is from RNAcentral. Lineage: Eukaryota; Viridiplantae; Streptophyta; Magnoliopsida; Fabales; Fabaceae.
AAUUUCAUUUUUAAUUCUUGAAUUAUGUUUUCUUUUAUAUAUAAUAACUUGUUUAAGUCAUAUCAAUAUCUAUCCAUCAUUUUAUUUACGAUGCUGUUUUUCUAUGAGUUUUCUCACUAUUUUGUAAUUUCAUGAGAAUUUAGGUGUCUACGUAGUACUUUUAUGCAUGAUUAUUUUUGGUAAACUUUGAAAUGUUUAGAAUAUUCAGGAUGAAAUUACUCGAAAAAAAUUUAAAGUAUCUACAUUAAAUUUUUUGUUAUUUAGUUUAGUUUUUCAAUAUUUGUCAGCAUUAUUUGUUUGUAAUUAUUCUAAAAUAGAUGAAUUCACUAUUGCAAUUUCUUUGUUAUUAUAACGAGUGCCAUAUGACAUAUUUAAAAAAAAUAUUUAUUGGUUAGCAAAAGAGUUCAUUAUUUAACAUGAUCACAAUAUAAUAGAAAUGAUUUAAAAAUAUUUUUAAUAUGAGCCUUCAAAGAUGAACAUUAAAAAAAUAUGAACUAAAGGACAAACACUUUCACAUCCUUGUUUCAAAACUAUUAAAAAAUGAUAAUCAAUAUGAUUACUAUCAUCUUCAUUACUAUAUGUUCAUAAAAUUUAUUGAUAUUUAUUAUUAUCUUUAUGGGGCAAUUUUUUUUUUUAAUUUUUGGGGUGAGGUAGAACACAAAAAUUUCGAUGAAUCUUGAAUGGUUUAUCAAAACUGGAAUUUCAUUCAUCACUUGUUUGUUCUGUAGUUGUGUCAUCUGCAUAUUCUCUUGUUUUAGUGUUUAAAACAUAUAAUUAAUUUUUAAAAAAAGUUUAAAAUAAGUAAAUCGUUCUACCAAUGUUGAUUUGGCGUAGUAAACAUAGUCACCUUGAGAAGGCUACUAUGUUAAACAAUUACGUUAAGUAGCCAAGUAAUAUGUAUACGUAUAUGUCAUUUUGAUUCAAAGACAUGCAUUUGGAGUGUUUCAACGCAUCCUAUGAUGUUCAAAGCAAACUCAGUUCUUUUGCCUAGUAUCCAUCUAAUAGGUUUCAUGUUUCCAAUAGAAGUAGCUCUACUUUAUUUUUACAAUAUGUUUUUCUUUUCAUAACUUUAAUCCAUCUCUUUCUAUAUAAAAUGUCAUUUUAUUUAUUUCGUAUUUUCAUGGUCAUUUCUUAAAACAACAUAUUAUGAUAUCAAUACAUUAUACUUUAGAAUUUUAGAGUUAAAAUAACUUAAAUAUCUAUGCAUUACAAUUUAAGUGAAUAAACUUUAUCAUAAAGAAACUAACAAAUCAACAUUGUUAAUAUUAUGAUUUAGGAUCUUAUUCAAAAUAAUAACAUUAACAAAUCAAUAAUGUAAAUGUUAUUAUUUAGAAUCUUAUUCUAAUAAUUUCAAGUGAUGUCUAUGUGUACUUAAGUAAUAGAAUAUGAAUUUGGCAUGAAAUGUGGUUUCUGAUACUAACUUAUUGAUAUCAUAUAUAAAUAUCAUAAUAAAACGAAAAUUUUACUUAAUUCGUCUCUAUAAAAUUAAUUUUUAAGAGAAAAAGUGUAACACUAGAUAAACUCUUCAGAGACU